AGGGGUUAAAAGUCAAUUUACCCAUCCAAUAGAUGGAUCGAAGGUGUAGAUAUGUCCGUAUCAUCGAAUGGGAUAUAUAGGAAUAAUUCUUUCGAGAAUCGGAGGAGUAUAUUGAAAAAUAUCCCUCCAUAUUGGUUUAGGCUUUAAGAGAGAGGAAGAGGUAAUCAGGAGAUCAAAAUUUAAUCUAACCAUCUGAUGGAUGGGUUGGGAGUGUCUGUAGCUCC
Molecule: long non-coding RNA, 224 nt
Filed under: Elaeis guineensis (African oil palm)
Lineage: Eukaryota; Viridiplantae; Streptophyta; Magnoliopsida; Arecales; Arecaceae
Description: long non-coding RNA (EGUI_LNC063655)
Source: RNAcentral